This 408-nucleotide ribosomal RNA is filed under the name uncultured bacterium. Its description in RNAcentral is "partial 16S ribosomal RNA". It matches the Rfam family "Bacterial small subunit ribosomal RNA", at positions 28 to 526 of the family's 1533-position model. The record is from RNAcentral.
GACGAACGCUGGCGGCGUGCUUAACACAUGCAAGUCGAACGAAGUGGCGAACGGGUGAGUAAUACGUGGGUAACCUGCCCUCCUUUUUGGGAUAAGCCUUGGAAACGGGGGCUAAUACCGAAUAAAGGGGGAUGGGCUCGCGGCCUAUGAGCUUGUUGGUGGGGUGAUGGCCUACCAAGGCGGUGACGGGUAGCCGGCCUGAGAGGGUGACCGGCCACGUUGGUACUGCGCUACCGCCCAGGCUCCUACGGGAGGGAGCAUUUGGGGAUAUUGCCCAAUGCGCGAUGGCCUUAUGCAGCGUCGCCGCGUGAGGCAUUAAGGUUUUCGGGUUGUAACCCUCUUUCGCUAUCGAUCCGUUAGGUAGAGAAGAAGCGCCGGCUAACUACGUGCCAGCAGCCGCGGUAAUUC